RNAcentral lists this transfer RNA (74 nucleotides) under Flavobacterium sp. Its description in RNAcentral is "tRNA-Arg". It matches the Rfam family "tRNA". Rfam says of the family: Transfer RNA (tRNA) molecules are approximately 80 nucleotides in length. Their secondary structure includes four short double-helical elements and three loops (D, anti-codon, and T loops). The record is from RNAcentral. RNAcentral also lists the same sequence under 4 other names. Lineage: Bacteria; Pseudomonadati; Bacteroidota; Flavobacteriia; Flavobacteriales; Flavobacteriaceae.
GGCUCCGUAGUUCAACUGGAUAGAAUAUCAGAUUUCGGCUCUGAGGGUUGGGGGUUCGAAUCCCUUCGGGGUCA